CUCAAAUUUGAAAUCUGGCCCUUGGGUCCGAAUUGUAAUUUGUAGAGGAUGUUUUUGGUGCGGUAUCUUCCGAGUUCCUUGGAACAGGACGCCUUAGAGGGUGAGAGCCCCGUACGGUUGAAUGCCUAGCCUUUGUAAAACUCCUUCGACGAGUCGAGUAGUUUGGGAAUGCUGCUCUAAAUGGGAGGUAAAUUUCUUCUAAAGCUAAAUACUGGCCAGAGACCGAUAGCGCACAAGUAGAGUGAUCGAAAGAUGAAAAGCACUUUGAAAAGAGGGUUAAAUAGCACGUGAAAUUGUUGAAAGGGAAGGAUUUAUGACCAGACUUUUUCUAGGCGAAUCAUCCGGUGUUCUCACCGGUGCACUUUGUUUAGUUUAGGCCAGCAUCGAUUUUCGGGGUGGGAUAAAAGCUUUAGGAAUGUGGCUCCCUCGGGAGUGUUAUAGCCUAUUGUAUAAUACCGCCCUGGGGAUCGAGGUACGCGCUUCUGCAAGGAUGCUGGCGUAAUGGUUAUCAAUCAC
This 516-nucleotide ribosomal RNA is filed under the name Synnemapestaloides rhododendri. Its description in RNAcentral is "eukaryotic LSU rRNA". It matches the Rfam family "Eukaryotic large subunit ribosomal RNA", at positions 108 to 648 of the family's 3401-position model. RNAcentral also lists the same sequence under 1 other name. Lineage: Eukaryota; Fungi; Ascomycota; Sordariomycetes; Amphisphaeriales; Sporocadaceae. The record is from RNAcentral.